ACGAACACUGGCGGCGUGCUUAACACAUGCAAGUCGAACGGAAAGGCCCUGCUUUUGUGGGGUGCUCGAGUGGCGAACGGGUGAGUAACACGUGAGUAACCUGCCCUUGACUUUGGGAUAACUUCAGGAAACUGGGGCUAAUACCGGAUAGGAGCUCCUGCUGCAUGGUGGGGGUUGGAAAGUUUCGGCGGCUGGGGAUGGACUCGCGGCUUAUCAGCUUGUUGGUGGGGUAGUGGCUUACCAAGGCUUUGACGGGUAGCCGGCCUGAGAGGGUGACCGGCCACAUUGGGACUGAGAUACGGCCCAGACUCCUACGGGAGGCAGCAGUGGGGAAUAUUGCACAAUGGGCGGAAGCCUGAUGCAGCAACGCCGCGUGCGGGAUGACGGCCUUCGGGUUGUAAACCGCUUUCGCCUGUGACGAAGCGUGAGUGACGGUAAUGGGUAAAGAAGCACCGGCUAACUACGUG
Molecule: ribosomal RNA, 467 nt
Filed under: uncultured bacterium
Lineage: Bacteria
Description: partial 16S ribosomal RNA
Rfam family: Bacterial small subunit ribosomal RNA
Source: RNAcentral